Delphinapterus leucas (beluga whale) is the source of this 310-nucleotide non-coding RNA. NCBI's taxonomy places the organism in Eukaryota, Metazoa, Chordata, Mammalia, Artiodactyla, Monodontidae. The record is from RefSeq and is a predicted model, not a curated record.
GCCUCUAAUUGGUACCCGGCCGCCGCUUCAAAGUUCAGAGGCUAUUGCGACUGCAAUGCCCUCGUGGGGAAUGUGCCCCGGAGUGUUUUUGCACGCACACGAACCAGACACGUUUCUGAACAUCAUCAAGGAGCACAAGGGAAGUCCGCUGUAACCUGUUGUGCCUUUGGAAAACCUGGAGAUUGACGGAGCUCAUUUUCGACCUGAAGGACAACCCUAAGGGAGAGGAAUUAUUAUUACCAUUCUGAUUUCAUCAACGAAGACAUAGAAGCCUAAAGAAGUUAAGUAACUUGCCCCAAGUUAUUCAGUG